This 553-nucleotide ribosomal RNA is filed under the name uncultured archaeon. Its description in RNAcentral is "bacterial SSU rRNA". It matches the Rfam family "Archaeal small subunit ribosomal RNA", at positions 326 to 879 of the family's 1478-position model. The record is from RNAcentral.
CGGGGUGCAGCAGGCGCGAAAACUUUACAAUGCCGGCAACGGCGAUAAGGGAACCUCGAGUGCCAGGUUACAAAUCUGGCUGUCGCGAUGCCUAAAAAGCAUUGCAUAGCAAGGGCCGGGCAAGACCGGUGCCAGCCGCCGCGGUAACACCGGCGGCUCGAGUGGUAACCGUUAUUAUUGGGUCUAAAGGGUCUGUAGCCGGCCGGAUAAGUCUCUUGGGAAAUCCGGCAGCUCAACUGUCGGGCUUUCAGGAGAUACUGUCUGGCUCGAGGCCGGGAGAGGUGAGAGGUACUUCAGGGGUAGGGGUGAAAUCUUGUAAUCCUUGAAGGACCACCAGUGGCGAAGGCGUCUCACCAGAACGGACCUGACGGCAAGGGACGAAAGCUAGGGGCACGAACCGGAUUAGAUACCCGGGUAGUCCUAGCCGUAAACGAUACUCGCUAGGUGUCGGCCACGGUGUGACCGUGGUCGGUGCCGUAGGGAAGCCGUGAAGCGAGCCACCUGGGAAGUACGGCCGCAAGGCUGAAACUUAAAGGAAUUGGCGGGGGAGCAC